This 557-nucleotide ribosomal RNA is filed under the name Sphingomonas sp. HRRP079. Its description in RNAcentral is "bacterial SSU rRNA". It matches the Rfam family "Bacterial small subunit ribosomal RNA", at positions 102 to 694 of the family's 1533-position model. Lineage: Bacteria; Pseudomonadati; Pseudomonadota; Alphaproteobacteria; Sphingomonadales; Sphingomonadaceae. The record is from RNAcentral.
ACGGGUGCGUAACGCGUGGGAAUCUGCCCUUGGGUUCGGAAUAACAGCGAGAAAUUGCUGCUAAUACCGGAUGAUGACGUAAGUCCAAAGAUUUAUCGCCCAAGGAUGAGCCCGCGUAGGAUUAGCUAGUUGGUGAGGUAAAGGCUCACCAAGGCGACGAUCCUUAGCUGGUCUGAGAGGAUGAUCAGCCACACUGGGACUGAGACACGGCCCAGACUCCUACGGGAGGCAGCAGUGGGGAAUAUUGGACAAUGGGCGCAAGCCUGAUCCAGCAAUGCCGCGUGAGUGAUGAAGGCCUUAGGGUUGUAAAGCUCUUUUACCCGGGAUGAUAAUGACAGUACCGGGAGAAUAAGCUCCGGCUAACUCCGUGCCAGCAGCCGCGGUAAUACGGAGGGAGCUAGCGUUAUUCGGAAUUACUGGGCGUAAAGCGCACGUAGGCGGCUUUGUAAGUUAGAGGUGAAAGCCUGGAGCUCAACUCCAGAAUUGCCUUUAAGACUGCAUCGCUUGAAUCCAGGAGAGGUGAGUGGAAUUCCGAGUGUAGAGGUGAAAUUCGUAGA